GGCGCUAUAGCCAAGUGGUUACGGCGACAGAUUCGAAUGAUGUGAAAUCUGUUCCUCUUUGAGGGCGCAGGUUCAAAUCCUGCUGGCGUCG
Molecule: transfer RNA, 91 nt
Filed under: Phlebopus sp. FC_14
Lineage: Eukaryota; Fungi; Basidiomycota; Agaricomycetes; Boletales; Boletinellaceae
Rfam family: tRNA
About the family: Transfer RNA (tRNA) molecules are approximately 80 nucleotides in length. Their secondary structure includes four short double-helical elements and three loops (D, anti-codon, and T loops).
Source: Rfam by way of RNAcentral